GACGAACGCUGGCGGCGUGCUUAACACAUGCAAGUCGAACGGAAAGGCUCAACUUGCUUGGUGCUCUUGUGUCGAACGGGUGUGUAACACGUGGGGGAACUACCCCUUGCUUCAGGUUAAGCUCGUGAGACUGUGGCUAUUACAAACGAGGACAAACGUCUAGUGAUGGUAAUUGUUAGCUUUUUCGGUUUGGGAUGAGUCCGCGGCCUAUCAGCUUGUUGGUGGGGUAAUGGCCUACUAAGGCGGCGACGGGUAGCCGGCCUGAGAGGGUGGACGGCCACAUUGGGACUGAGAUACGGCCCAGACUCCGACGGGAGGCAGCAGUAGGGAAUAUUGCACAAUGGGCGCAAGCCUGAUGCAGCGACGCCGCGUGGGGGAUGACGGCCUUCGGGUUGUAAACCUCUUUCGACAGGGACGAAGCUUAAGUGACGGUACCUGAAGAAGAGGCACCGGCUAACUACGUG
Molecule: ribosomal RNA, 464 nt
Filed under: uncultured bacterium
Lineage: Bacteria
Description: partial 16S ribosomal RNA
Rfam family: Bacterial small subunit ribosomal RNA
Source: RNAcentral